Long non-coding RNA from Ornithodoros turicata, 479 nucleotides. RefSeq lists it as uncharacterized. Lineage: Eukaryota; Metazoa; Arthropoda; Arachnida; Ixodida; Argasidae. The transcript is spliced from 3 exons. The record is from RefSeq and is a predicted model, not a curated record.
GGAAUUUGCAUUGGUUCUUCCGUCGUACCCAAGGUCAGCAAGAUUUACAUUUCCGCAUUUUCCCGAUCACUAUCGUCGUUUUCCAAGACGUGCCGUCCUACGUUGUGUUGGGGGCAUGACCGUACUGACCCGAAACCCCUGCUCUCAAGGUGGAGCUGUCAUCCCAAAUCCGUAAAGUCAGGUAUAAUCAAGGUAUUUCGCAUCGGGUGUGAAAAUUGGCAACUACGCAGGGACACCAUGUUCACAACAAGCUGUCCACCCUCACAUCCUUCCGAUCAAAGUCAAAUGAAGUCAAAUCUGGUGAAAGUCAGCGGUGCAACACGUCCCACAAAAAGAAGUUCGCAGGGUGCAGCUGUCUUGCGUCUUCCUUGUACUUUUCCAGUUCGCGGAUUCCUACAUUGGGUAGACCCGCAGGUUCCUGAAAGAUAGGCUUCGGGAACACGCUAACAAUGCCAUAAGUCAAUCAAGUACUUCUGAAC